Long non-coding RNA from Telopea speciosissima, 151 nucleotides. RefSeq lists it as uncharacterized. The record is from RefSeq and is a predicted model, not a curated record. The transcript has 2 exons. NCBI's taxonomy places the organism in Eukaryota, Viridiplantae, Streptophyta, Magnoliopsida, Proteales, Proteaceae.
UAAUCUCUUUUUUUCUCUCUCCCUCUCUCUGGUUUCUGCCCAGAGGCCAGGGCUAGGCAGAGCCGUAACGAAGGAUUUGUCUGUGAAAUUCACAGAGGUUCCUGGGUUGUUUGCAGAAUUGCAUUUCAGUUUCCCUGACGGGCUAUCUUGG